UGGGCAACCUGCCCUCAGCUCUGGGAUAACUCCAAGAAAUUGGGGCUAAUACCGGAUAUGACCGCUGACCGCAUGGUCUGGUGGUGGAAAGAUUUAUCGGCUGGGGAUGGGCCCGCGGCCUAUCAGCUUGUUGGUGGGGUAGUGGCCUACCAAGGCGACGACGGGUAGCCGGCCUGAGAGGGUGACCGGCCACACUGGGACUGAGAUACGGUCCAGACUCCUACGGGAA
This 229-nucleotide ribosomal RNA is filed under the name uncultured bacterium. Its description in RNAcentral is "partial 16S ribosomal RNA". It matches the Rfam family "Bacterial small subunit ribosomal RNA", at positions 118 to 347 of the family's 1533-position model. The record is from RNAcentral.